RNAcentral lists this ribosomal RNA (315 nucleotides) under uncultured bacterium. RNAcentral's name for it is "bacterial SSU rRNA". It matches the Rfam family "Bacterial small subunit ribosomal RNA", at positions 28 to 334 of the family's 1533-position model. The record is from RNAcentral.
GAUGAACGCUGGCGGCGUGCCUAACACAUUCAAGUCGAACGGACUUUGGUUGGAAGCUUGCUUCCGACCCAAGUUAGUGGCGGACGGGUGAGUAACGCGUGAGCAACCUGCCCCUGUGAGUGGAAUAACGUCCGGAAACAGACGCUAAUACCGCAUAACACACCGAGAUCGCAUGUUUUUGGUGUCAAAGAUUUAUCGCACAGGGAUGGGCUCGCGUUGGAUUAGUUAGUUGGUGAGGUAACGGCUCACCAAGACCGCGAUCCAUAGCCGGACUGAGAGGUUGAACGGCCACAUUGGAACUGAGAAACGGUCCAG